RNAcentral lists this non-coding RNA (23 nucleotides) under Arabidopsis thaliana (thale cress). The record is from RNAcentral. Lineage: Eukaryota; Viridiplantae; Streptophyta; Magnoliopsida; Brassicales; Brassicaceae.
GAUGCAUACUUCUCACCAUUGAA